GAUGCGCAGAAGAUGUCCCCUGGCUGGGACCUGGCGAUGCUGGUGCAGAUGCCGCAGAUGGCGCUGGCAAUGGACUCCUCGGGCAGUCCGACUGGAAGUGGCCCUCCUGGCCACACAAGAAGCACCUGCCCCGGCUGCGUGUACACUGUCGUGGGUAAUGAGGGCCACCACAGAUCACGCAGCGGGGAGCCUGGCGACGAUCGGGUCCUCAUCGCUGGGUAGACUGGCCACGUCCUCGCGACUGGCUCCUGCUCCUGGGAUGCCUCGGCGGCCUCCGUGAGUGCGUCUGACUCGCACCCUCAGCCGCUGGCCUCUUGCCCUUGCCCUUAUCUAGGGCCUCGCGUCGCUCCUGAAGGUCUGCUGCUCCGGCCUCCACAAUCAAAGCUCGAUCCACAACCUCUCGGUAGGUCUGGAGGUUGGAAGACUGCACCAACCGGAAGAUAGAAGGCCGCAAACCGCGCUCGAAAAUGCGGGCCUUGUCCUCGUCAUCCCGCACUACAUAAGGCACACAAUGGAGUAAUCGAGAGAACUCUCUCUCGUACUCGGCCACAGACCGCUCAUCCUGGCGCAAGCUGCGCAAGUCCUGCUCCAUCUUCCUCUUGACGCUAGUAGGGAAGUAGUGCGCCAGAAGAAGCUCCUUGAAUCGCGUCCAGGAGAUCGCUGCCAAGUCGGUGCUGGGGUUGUCCUGGAUGUCCAACCACCAACGGUAGGCCUCGCCAUCCAGAAAGUGAGUGGCGAGCCAAACUCUGUCCCGCUCCUCCACGAAGGUGUCCCUGAAGAGCUUCUCCAUGUGCAUCAACCACUUCUCGACGAUCCAGUGGUCGACGUUCUCGCCAUCGAACGUCCUCGGGCUGCACCUCCUGAACUCGCUGAGGCGCUCCAUGAGUCUAUCCCGCUCGGCUCCCUCGGCCAUCACGGGGAAAACUGCUCCCGUGGCCGGUCUCUGAACUAGUAAUGCCGCAACUACCUCCUCCCGGGGUGCGGUCGCCGGUGCCGCACGUGAGGAACUGGGCGCGGGGGACUGCGCCCUCGGAGCGACGUCCACCACGGGUGCUGGCGGUGUGGGACCCUGGGUCUCCCUCGAAGCUGCCGCCUGCUGAAGUAGGAGGUCCUCGAGAUGCUUCAUCCGCGCCUCCUGCCGCUGAGCUACCUCAGCCUGUCGCUGCGCCGCUGCCGUCUGCUGCGCCAAGAGAUCAGUGAGGACCGCAAGCUGGGCCCUCAAGUCACGGACCUCACUAGAUCCGGAAGUAGCGGAGGUCUCAACCUCCUCGGGGUGUGCCGCAUCAUCCGCCCCGGCAGACUGGGAGCGUGUAAUCGGCAUCGUCACUACAAAGCAUAAAAGCGCAAGUUAGUAACCCACGCUAUCGCAUCCCCGCUCAAAUAAAUAAAACCCCAAAUCAUGCGAAAGUAAGGAAGUGUCCUUCACUACUAACUCCCGAUGUUACGUUGUCGGCCGCCAACGUAACCCUCCGCGAAGUUAGAAGCCAUACGCUCCGAUCAAACUCUAACUUUUUAGAGUUGUCAUAACCCAAUUAUAAUACUUUCGCUCACGAGUUAAAUAGACCUCGUCUCUCACGGCCUAUUUUCUAUAGUCCAACCAGCCUAAGGUUCGCUAGGUCCACUAAGACUCAACCCUAGGCUCUGAUACCAAAUUAAAUUGUCACGCCCCGGGACCGGCGGAGGCCCUCCCGGUAGCGUGCCCAGACCCGCCAUAUGUCAACACAUAUAAGGCGUCUACAAUAAAAGCGGAAGUAAAAGCAAGUAAUAAAACAAGUAGAAGAAGUGAAAUAACUAGUAACUAAUGAUAUCAGAGCAAAUAUAGUUCUAACAUCUACACCCAAGUAAGGAGAUAAGGAUAGACAAUAAAGGAAAUCAUAAGUAGUACAAUAUCUGUCUCUAGCACAAAAAUGGUGGUCUCUAUACAUAUACGGGUACAACUCUCAACCUCUCACAAAAAGAUAACACGAGAGGUAGACCACCUAUCGACGAUCCCUCGGUAAGCACGCUAGCCCGAGGCGAUACCCUUUCCGCGAUCCCUGGCCUCUCCCUGAGUGGAAGGCUCUGAAAAACAUCGAGAAAAAGAGGGCGUGAGAACUAUAAUUUAUAGUUCCCAGUGGGCAAUUACUGACCUCAGCUCUUGCUCCACUAGGCCCCAAAAACAAGGGUAAGUAACGAUAAUAAUAAAAGGCAAUAAGGAGCAUAUACAUAAACUGCUGAAAGGAAGCAUAAAUGAAAUGCUAGUCUACUGUGUCUCAAAUAAGCAAUUGAUGCAACAAAAUGUACAUCUAUUCUAUAUUACAAUUAAGCUCCCAUCACGCUAAGUUUAAUGUUGUAACCCUUUGUCAAUACAUAAUCGUUGUAUGUUCAAUAUGGCAACCACGUAUAGCACACCGUACUCACACUAUGUAAAAGUCAUGUAAAGUAAACCCAACACUUAAAGUCUAUCUUGAUAGUGAUCAUCUCAUCCUAACCCAUUUGUGUCGAUUUCCAUUUCCAAAUAGGGACUUACCAAGUAGUCAGCUUGUGCCGCCUAAAGUGCCUGUGGUAGCCCGACAUUCUACUCUUGGAAUGUGUCUGUUCCCAACUCGGACGCCGUAGGUUCUUCAUAUACCUGCACGACGCGAUCAAAGUAAGUCAACUGCAGCAGUAAACUCCGGAGUGCCGCUUGAGGGACGACCUCAGCAAGCUGUGCGAAUGAGUCACCCAAAUGGCAAGCCAAGCAUAGUCCACCAGUCUCAAUACCAAUCCUCAUGCUCUAAAGACCCAUCUGGUAUCAUAACUAUGAUCCCGAAGAUCUAGUCUAAAGUCACAAGGUGAAGUUCAAAGCCUUGCACGCUAGUGGCCUUGAUGGACACUAGCAAUUUGAUGUUGCCACAUGUUUUCCAAAUCCCUAAUGCCUGCCACUAGGAUUCUCACAAGUUCCUGAGCUCAAUGCCGCUUGAUGACCAUAGCUCUCACACAAUUGCACGAUAUAUCCACAAGGCGUUUCGAUGCUACAAAUUGUGCAACUGUUCAACCUUGCAUGUCCCAAUAAACUUACUGCUUUAUACGCAUGAAUCAUAACUCAUUUAUCUCUCUAGAACCAUGAAAUUAAACCUCAUAUAGAAUGCGUAAAUUGCAACAAGAUCUUCCGCACCAACUCUCUAACUACACUAGAGGUCUCAAAAAUUCAUUACAUAUAGUAACUUAUGCACUUUAAGCAUUCUAACAAAUCAAUAAUUCUAACAUUUAAAUGAAAUGCAUAAUUUAUAAGGUAACAAGGCACGAUCACCAAUAUGAGAUUUUCUCAUAAUCAACAGUGCUAGGUCAACUACGCACCGACAGACAACAGAGUUUUCGUUUGCUCCAACGGAGGGUUCUUCUACCAAGCUUUCUAGGGCACCGUCUAGGAACAUGCCCAAAAGAGUGGUCAUCUCCAACGAGCCCGGAGAGCCGCCAAUAGCUCAAACAUUAAGCAUAUUCUCAGCAAAUGGGGCUAAACUCAACCUCAAGACUAGAAAUUCUCUUCCUAUGCUACCAUAAAGAGAUGCUUAGACCCUUCCAUCUAACCUAAUGAGGAAGGUUUCUAAUCGGAACACAUUGAGCUUCAUAAAGCACUUAGAAACGAAAAAUUGCCAUAAUAAAACCCUAAAAUCCCAUUGUGCUAGGUUGAUCUACCUACAAAGUCAUCAAAAACAACAAAGUAUAGAGGAAAAGAAUAAAGCACAACCUCUAGAAGACCUUCCAACUAUAGGUUCAAAAAGCCUCAAGGUCACAGAAUCUCUCUACCAACAAGCUCCAAACCCAAGCUCCAAUGAUUGGAAUAAAGGCCUCCAAAACCACAAAAAGAGCAAAAAGGGAUUUAAUCUUCUAAAAACCUACAAGCAAAAUCAAAGAUAAUGGAGAGGGAGGCUGUGAAGGCCUCCUUCCAUCUUCCUCGCUGCAUCGUCGCCAAAGCUCAGGGCGAGCGCCUAGGGCGUGGGUGUAUUAUAAAGAGAUGUCGCCACAGACGGCGAAAAACCCACUGCAUGUUCAACGCCACAGUAUCUGCAUGCGUGACGGCGGUACAUUCCCCGCUACCGGUUACCAGAUGCCUUCUGCGAAACCCGCCGAGCCGAGGCCUCGGGGUGGCUGAGAAGCGGCGCCAAAGCAUGCUGUACGAUACAGGCCAUCACUACCCAGACACAGUACAGAUACAGCCUCUGCAAGCAACCCGAGAAGCUAACCAAAAAUCCGAUUUCGGGUUUGCGUGCUACGGCUGUUAAACUCUCAUGUCUUCUCGGAUGUCGAGCCAAGGCUCGGAACAUCAUGUCAACGGCGCCACCAGAAAUAACUGAAUUGUCUCAGUCAACACAGCCUCGAAAGCACGUCGAACCCUUCGCAAUUGCAAAGGUCCAGUGUGUACAUAAGGGAUUCAAAUCAUAACAUCUUACAGGCUGACAUACAAAAUCCUAUAAAAAGUGUCAGAUAUAAAAAUUUCGAUCAGAAAAUAUAGAUCUGUUGUGACGAUGUAUAAAAGAAUUCUAUCAAAAUUUCAUCUGCUUUGAUACUUCUAAGCAGGUAGCCGUUAAACUUGCCAAAGGCAGAUAUCAACCAUAACAAUUAUGAUUUGAAUCCUUUCAAGUCAUAGCUUAAAUGCAUACCCGAAAAAUCGCAAAAAUUAUUUUCUAGAAACUUCAAAUGCGCUAGAUCAAGUCUAACGGAGCCGAUCGUCGAUUCGAAAAUUCCAUCAUCGAAAACGGCUCAGGAGCACGGAGGCCUCCGUGCUCCUGAGAGCACAGCAGCCCUGCUCUAUAUAUAUAUAUAUAUAUAUAUAUGCUAACCGACCGUCCCUAGAGCAAGUGGCAAAGGACUUGGUGAUUGGUACCGAGACCCAAAUUCGAAUCCUAGUUGAUUCACAUUUCUAGCUAAGUUUAUUUCUAAAUGAAAUAAACGAAGCGGGUAGCGUGCUGUCUAUCUCUCAAAAAAUAAAUAUAUAUGCUAAUUUUGCAAUAUAUUAUAAUUUCGAUACAUGAUUGUACUAAAACUUUAGAUAACAUUAAUUACAUCUAAUUUUGAUAAUUUGAUUUCAAUUUUUUUGGUACAAAAUAUUUAUUUAAUUUAUUUAGAAAUAAUAUUUAUUUUUAAAUUGGGUUUAAAAAAAGGGUAUUCUUGUCGUUCUGAAUUCAUAACUAAUCAAUCACUCUUCUUCUCAUCCCACUUUAUUCAUUCAAACAUUAUUUGUUUUUAUACCCGAUAAUAAUCUAAUUUUUAUCCAAACAAAAACUUAUUUAACUCCUACUUACACCUAAAUGUUUACCUAUUUCUUUCAAAGAUAGACGGUUCUUAUUUACAUCCGAAUCAAACGAUACCAUAAAAAUGUGCUCACCUCUAAAUAGAAUAGAAUAAUUAUCACGUACAUAAACCGUGUUCAAUCAUUUGACUUUUCAAAACCACUAGGAAAUUACAAACCGCUAGGAGAUCAGAAGCUACAGAAUUAGUACAACACCAUGCCUUCUUUAUCUCGAAAAUGAGGACUGAAAAAAAAAAAAAAAAAAAAAAAAAAAAAAAAAAAAAAAAAGAAGAAGAAGAAGAAGAAACUUUAGCGUCAUUGCCUAUUCCAGAAUUGCCGAGGAAAAGAUUCACUCACGGCAAGCUCGAAAGGAAGUUCCAAUAAGCAUCUACAUGAGAUAAUAUCUAAAGCAACUAAAAAUACCAGAUAAGUAAAAGAAAAGAGGAAACGUUGGAAUAAAGAGAUGCAUAUAUUUACAAGCCCAGUUUUUUUUUUUUUUUUUUAAAAAAAAACAGUUGGAAAAGAGUAGAGCAUUUCUACAGCAAACCAUUUCUAUUAUAACUUGGUGCAGUACAUACUGACAAAUUAUUCUACAUAAAAUAAUAAUAGAAGCAGAAGAUGAAAGCUCAAAAGCAGUUUCCUUGCCUGCACACAACUGGGUUUUUGCCUCACAAGAGUAAGAUUUAUCAUUCUAGGAGCUUCGCAAGAUAAACAAUGUAAAUGGCAAUAUAGAUAACAUUUGCUAGGAUGACUUGGAUCUGAUGCCAUGGGAGAACAAAGAAGUAGGCAGCUACGAGCACCGAUAACUUUUUAAGUGACAUUACCGCACCAACCUAAGGUAAAAAGUAAAACCAAAUUCUAGCUUACCUAUGCAUCGAAAAAGCUGGCUUAGAUCAGCAUUAGAUAUUAAGGCUUGCAAAGAGGAGCUCCAACUCCUCAUCUUGGGCGACGGUCCUCUGCAAAGAAAGAAAAACAAAAGCAAAAGAAUAAGGCUCCAUUGCAUAUAAAUUAGAUAUUUCAAUUUCCAUGCAAUUAUCCUAGAGAUUUGGAGUGAGAAUUAUUUAGUAUAUCCGGUCUGUUUUUGUUCUUCUUUUGGGGACAGCCAGUAAGCUCCCCCAGACCUCAAAUACCACAAACUCUAUUUAAAGGUGCCACGGUUGGAUUCUAAGAGGAGAACAACAUAACGAAGUAACUUAGCACUGUAGUUAUGGUGGUUUAGUACUAACAACCAUUUAAUUGUAGUUACCAUAGUACAACAUACCUAAAAGUAGAGACAGAAAGAAGUUGUCCCAGAUUUGCCCGGUAGAACAGGAGGUGGAGUGAAAUAUGCAGGGUCGACAGCCCUUUCACAUUCAUUUAGAUCUCAUGAAGUGCUUCUAAUGUUUAGUGCAUGUUUAGUACAAGGUUAACAUUUAUGGAUUACAUGUUCUCCGAGCAAUAUUUCAUAAUGUCAUAUUACCCUUCAUGCUUUUCUCUUUAUUUUCCGUUGUUCCUUCAAUCAAAAGUAACAAUUAAGAACUACGGAGAGGUUAAAGUGUGUUUGGUAUGGCACCAGUAGUUGAACAUGCACCAGUCCUUCAUCAUAAAUUGACAUUGUCAUAAAUUUCGCCUCUCUCAACCCAAUAUAAGAUGUAUCCAGUAAUAAACUAAGAAUUUGAAUGGUAUUUCAUCUAAUUUUUAACUGUUUGUAUCAUUAUAUCUGGCUUCUCUCUUUAUUAGAAUGUGCAACUUAUGCCAACUAUUUAUAUAUCAUAACGCCAAAUCAAAUCUGAACUGCACAACAUGUGGAUUGACGGCUAAUUAAUAAUAAGGCAAACAAUCAUAAUUGAAAAAUGAUUGUUUAUAGAGCUUGUGUAAAGCAUAAUUGAAAUAUGAAAGCGCUGCGAUAGAUAUUUGACAGAUUUUCCCAAACAGCUAUCUACAUAGAGGUCAGCAGACUAGAAAUCAGUGAAAUCUCCUGAACAAAAUCAGAUUGAACAAUAGAAAGAGGAACUUUUGAGUCAUAAAGUGAGGUGGCACAAUCAAUCAGGAGCAAAUGGGUGUUCAAUUAGGUUACAUGGUAGAAAGCAUAAGACAAUUGUCCAUCCAAUUGGGAGAAAAGAGGAGCUGUCAAACAUGAUAUCGAUUACCGACAGCAACCAAAACCAAAACAAGGUUGAUGGAAAAGUGUGUAUAUGUUGGGCAUUACUAACAGGAUCCGAGCAAGGGGAUGAGAGCAUAACUAACAGCAUCCACGAAAUCACUACAAGCAUGCGAGACAACCACUUUUCUCCACUUGUUUGCCACCAAUAAUUAACUACCUACAGCUAGAGAUGUCAACAGUCGAAUUCAGGGCAGUUUUUCAAAAAUCCAAAACCAAACCCGGCAAUCGAAACUGAACCCGAAACUGUCGGGUUUUGAAAUUUCAUACCCAAAAACAAAAUCGACAAAAAAGGGGAAACCUGAACCUGAAAUAAUUCAGCUUUUUUUCAUAAUCAGUCAAGUUACCCUAUUUUCAUAAUGUUUCAAACUCGAACCAUGAACUUGCAUAAGAAACCAGGUAUAAAACAAAAUUUACCCAAAACACAUAAUAUUUAUUUAUUAGCAAUUUAUACAACUAGGAAUAUGUGAUUUUCCCAUUCCUCAAUGCCUACCAAAAUAGCAUUAAUCCUACACAAAAACAACCUGUCUUUAUCCAACUUUUUUUUCAAAAAAAAUCAAACCAGAUCAAUUUAAAUAUAAGUAAUUAAAAAUGAGAGGACAAAGAGAUAAGGAUAAGGAAGGAAGAUGCAGUUGACCCUACAAAGAAACUAACAGGCAGCAAGAGGAAGAAGAGGCAAUAGAGCAAGAAGGCAGACGGAAAGGGCCAAGGCGGGGUGAGUCAAAGUCAGAGCGGAAGGAGGUCACAACGGAAGAAGUCAGCGAGGUAGACGACAAAGCAAGAGGCGUGAGUGUCGUCAACGAAAAAGACGAGGUUACUAGCCAGGGGGGAGGGCAAGGAGGCACUAACAAUGGAAAAUAGGGAUGAGGGGCGAGGUGCAAUGGCGUAUUGUGGCAAGAGUUUAUAGUAGGAAACUAGGAAUUAGAAUUUCGGAAAAAGGUUCACAGCAGGUUGGUUCAUAUAAGUGGAUAUAUAUAUAUAUAUAUAUAUAUAAUAUACUUAUAUAUAUUAUAUAUGUGUGUGUGUUGGUGUGUGGGGUUUGUGUGGUGUGUGUGUGUGUGUGUGUGUGAUGUGUGUUAAUGAAGCCUCCUACUUUUAACAAGUACCAGUUAUUGGGCUUGUAGAUUUUUGCCAUUGAUUAAGGCGAUUGUUGUUAGGAUGAUAUGCAGUCCCUAGGAUGAGUGGGUGGUUGUUGAAUAGUAUAAUUUAACGGGGAAAAUGAUCAAAUGCGUAGAUAAACGGUAAAUAUUUACACCACCAAGUGCUUAGUGCUUUACAAGCACCAUAACCUGAUUUCUCUCUCUCUCUCUCUCUCUUCUUCUCGCUCUAAUUCUUAUACUAUUAUAUUAGUAUAUAUAUAUAUAUAAAACCUGUUUCAUAUUCAGGUUUAGGUUCGGGUGCAAGCAAAAACCGCAGCUUAGGGGCCACAGACACGGACAGGAGAUAAAGGACACGACACGACUAGGAGACGGCAACUCGACAGUUUCAAAAAAAUUAGGACAAGGACACGAAUAAUAAAAUAUAAUAUUAUUAAUGUAAUGAUAUAUAAUUAUUAUAUAUAAAAUAUUAAUUUUUGAAAAAAAUGGCUAUAUUUCUCAUACGAAUAAAAGUCAAUAAAAUUCUCAUUGAUAGUUCACAUAUUUUAAGAAAAGAAAUUUUCCACCAUACAUUAUUUAUUUGUAUCGUCCAAAAAAAAGCUUGCAUGCAUUCAUCAAAAAACCAAAACAUUUAUCAUCUUCCAUUAUAUAUGCAUAAAAAAAUACAUAUAUAUUUUAAUGGGAUGUGCCAUCGAUGCGCAUCCAUGGCACACGAGUCCAACUUGAACACGUGAGUGUCUGACACAGACACACGAGACCUAUAGCCACGUCCAUUAUAUAUAGACCAUAACUAAACCCGAAAUCUUUGGGUUUUCAUUUUCUUAUAUCCAUAACCAAAGUCAUUCUUGCUUAGCAUCGGUUAAACACACCCUAUUCGCGAUAGAAGAAGUCAGCAGCGUAGACCCAAUAUGGAAGCGGGUGUCAUUGUCAAUAAGGAAGACAGGGUUACUGUCCAGGAGGGGGAGAGGGAGCAGGCAGUAAUGGUAGAAGAAAUGGAUGAAUGGCAGGGCGCAACGGCGGCUAAAGAGGGGGAUAAGGUCGGGGCACGACAGAAGAGGUGAAUAAGGGGAGAGGAGGUAGUGGGAUUUUGGAGGGAGAGGGAUUUUGGCAGGGGUUCACAAUAGAAAAUUGGGAAUUAGGAUUUGGAAAAAGGAAUUGCUAUAGGUUGGUUCAUAUAAGUGGAAUAAUGAAUAUACAUAUAUAAUAUAAAAUUGGUUUCAGGUUUGGGUUUGGGUUAGGGUUUAGGUUCAGUUCAAGUACAAGCAAAAACUGUAACCAAACCCAAAACUGUCAAGUUUUAGUUUUCCUGUACCCAUAACCAAAGCCACCCCUGUUUAACAUCAGUUAAAUGCACCUUGUUCGGGUUCGAAUUUGGGUAAAAUUUCUGGUAUUUGUAUCCAUUGUUAUCCCGACUUAUAGCUAAUAGUCAAAGUUUGAUAGCUAGGAGAAUAUAGGGAAGAGAGGAAGAAUACAAGAAUCUAAAACUUCAAACUCAUUAAAAGUUGAUAUUAAUCAAAAGAAAUCUCUAGAAAUGUUAACUAUCAAUGAAUCUAGACGUAGAAAAAAUAGCAUAUUUCUAUCUCGAAGUCGCAGAAGUCAUCGUAGUGAUAUAUGUACUAACUUUGCCUCCUACGGAUUAAAAGGUUGUAUAACAUAGAAAUGAAUAGAUGUUAAUUUGUAUCAGUAAAAUUGAUUCCCCUCAACAAUCUAAAGCAAAUAGUGAAAGACUCUUAAAUUUUAUUUGACCUCCUAGGUUUUUCCAUUAUCUGUUACGGAUUUUAAGUCGGCAUAUUUUGUGAGUAAGUCGGAGUCUUGAAGAUUUAAAGAAGAAGAGACGAAGAUCGAAAACUCGAAGACCUAAAACAUGAAUCCACAAUGCUCGGUAAGUUUAAAUUAUGUUGAUGGUGAUUUAUAAACAUUUACAAGUGUUUGGAAGACAUUAGAAUGAGUUUAAAUUAAUAAAAUAAUCAAAAUCGAGUUUUUCAAGUUUCAGGAUCCGGACCCUAGAAACAAGGUCCGGACCCCGUAAGCCUUCUUCGCCGGUAGGCUGUCUGUAGUACACUGAACUUCGGCAAAUUGCGAAGUUCGAGUGUUGGAAUAGUAAAUGGAACUAUUCUACAACUUGUGAUGAAUUGUUGAGAGGUUUCGGCAGGUUAUUGGGGCAAGCAAGUAGUGGGAAAUGGAAAAGUGCAUUGUAAAUGCACUAGUUAAAUGUAGUAUUCUGAAUUCGGCCGAUUAUAAAGUUUGGAGAGUGGACUGGGUAAUCGAAGCUAACCCACAGCUUCUAAAGAAUGGAAGUAAGGCUUUGGAUGAGUAAAAAAAGAGUGAUCGAAUCGUCAGAAGGUUGAAAGUGCAUUGUAAAAUGCAGAUUCAGCAUUUUGUACAAUGUACCGGUACAAGCAUGAUUCUGUACCGGUACACAGCACAGCAGUAGCUGCGGGGCUGAGGCUAUUUUGGUCUUUUCACCUUCUAAACCUAUCCUUAUCAACUCUGGUCGACCCCUGGGCUUGUUCUUAUCCUUCUGAAGCUGAGGAUAAGGUAAGGGAUACCUUCUCUCUUUCUCUCUCUAGGUCCUCCAUUUGGAGAUGGAAAACUAGUGGAUUUGAGUUAGUUUUUUCUCCCUCUCUUGCUACAAGCUGGUUUGGAGACUUGGGGGAUGGCUUUUGAAGCUUGGGAAUUGAUGUUUGACUAUGUUUCUUUCACCUUAACUCAGCAGGAACUGAGUUGAAACUCUGUGAGGUAAGGCAACUUCUCUCUAGAUUGAAGCUUGAGUGAUGGAGUUUGAACUUGUUUUACUUAUUUGCUGCCAGCUGAUUUUGGACAGCUUGUAGAAGCUGUAGCAGAGGUAUUUUGGGCCAUGAUUCUUCAAUCUUUACUCAGUUAAAACUGAGUUGGAGUUGAACAAGGUAAAUUCGCAACUAUACUUACUAGUUUUGAGACAAUAGCAAUGGUAUUGAUGGAGUUAUGUAUAAUGGUUCCUAGCAGGUGGUAAAAGUACUUCGAGUGGAAUAUAGUGACUUUUGAAAUUGGUUUUGCUGCGAGUCAGCAAUUCGAAACCAGGGGAAAAAGGCUCAAUUGGAGCUAUUGGAAGGUAUAUCACCUAUGAGCUUGUUAGUUAGAUGUAAUAGUUAUAGUUUUAUAGUUUAGAUGCAGUUUGGAUACAUGAUCUCAACUGGUUUGCAGCAGGAAAUCAGAUCCAGUUGAGCUGAAUUGGUGGCUAUUAUGAGCUAAUUUGGAAUAUUUCAACCUGCAUGGAAGUGAAGGUUUAGCCUUAGUCUAAACCUAGGGCAUUUGGAAGCUUCGGGUUACCUCCAAUUGUAGAAUUAUCAACAUAUCGGUGGGUUUGACCUUCCCGAAAUGGGUGAAUUCCCGCUAUGUCAUCUUGGACAUUUAGAAUCGGAAUUAUUGCAUAUUCAUGGGAAUAUAGAUUGUUCGAAUGAAUUGGGCAUACAUAAUUAUGCAUUUUAUGUUGGACAUAAUGGAAACCUCUUUAUAGUCGAGAAAGUAUCAUUUGGUUCUAUUAGACAACAAGGGAAUGAUGUACUUUAAGUGAAAUUACGCAAAUUACAUGUAGUAUACAUGGUACUAGAACUAGUAGUUCAUCUUGCAUAAUGAGGCUAUUUAUAUGUUAUAUGGAAUCAUAUAAAAGUAUCUUAGAUAAUGUUUAUAUACUGGUGUUGACAAGUUGGUGCUGUUUUCAUAUUUAUGCUGUUAAAACUAUUAUAACCUUCGAGUUUUGAUAUAAUCUAGUUAAGAAUCCGAACUUGAGCAUAUAUUGGUUACAUCGAAGGACUUGUAUAAGGAUCAUGUGAAGAGUACUUCAUAGAAAGUUGUAUCUACUUAUGUUAAACUGUUGAUUCCUACUUUCACAUGAAUCGAACUGGCCUAAUUUCAUGUUAUGGUGUUGAUUUAGUUAAGUAACUAGAAGUUGACAUUACGAUAUAACUUGAAGGUUAUUCUAUUAAAUGUAAUCUAGUAAAUAACUAGAAAGGGAUAUGAGAAUUACUUGUGUGAUCAAGUAGAAAUAAUUGUUGAUUUCUUGUUUACCCAAGUAGUAAGAAUGAUGUCGAACUAUAGAUUAUGUGCCACGAGUCAUUGAACAUAACUUUAGAAAACUACUUCCCUUAUGCAUAGGAAGUAGUGAGAGAACUCUAUGUGAGAGUGUGUGGGUAUAGCCCAUUAUGAAGUAAAGUAUAGACUAGUCUGAGAUAUACUAGCUAUUAGUAGAAAUAUGUCAACAGAUAGUUGAUAGUGACUUAUGAUUUGGUACUAUGGUAUCGACCUCGUGUCGAGUGAGGUUCCAUGUCAGAGACUUGAUGAAGUGGGGAUACCUAUACUGUGGAUUACAGCUUGCAUGCCAUUACGCUCAUUCGCACCCGCUUGUGGGGGUCGCGCCCCCCAAGCCAGCACUCCGGAGUAGCUUAGCGACAGAUUGCUCGCUCAUGUACGAACUGAGCGCCGAAGUGGAUUGCCGUGGGUAGUGUUGACUUCCACGGGGCCAUUAGGCACGGCGCGGCUAUGACUUCACCCUGUGUAAGUCUAUUAUGAAUUGGGUUAUGAUGAGUUACUUUAACUUUAGAUGGACAUAGUAAUAAGGAUACUUUAUGUCAUUGAUCAAGUAUAUCUAGUAGUAAGCAUACUAAAGGGUUGACUUCUCUAUUAAUUAGUAGUAUAAUGACAGUAUUUGAAAGUAUACACUCUUGUUAGUGUAGAAAUAACUACAUGAUGUCCUUAGCUAGUAAACAUAAUGAUAUUUUGCAUAUAACAUGACAUGUAGUUGAUUAAACUGCUGACUAGCAUGACUAAAGCAUCCAUUCAUAUGAAUUGAUAUAUGUAUAUAAAACUUAUUAAGACAUAUCUGAUAGAGGCAUAGUAUAUUUAAGUAUUCCUGUUAGCAUUCCAUUUACUCUGCUCAUUUACUGUUUUAUACUUAUGCCUCAGUUGACCUAGUAGUGUACUUCGCCACUCUCGGCGGCUUACCCACUGGGAACUAUUGGUUAAUAGUUCUCAUGCCCUCUUUGUUGUUGUUUUUACAGAGCCUUCCAUAGCGGGAAAGGCUAGGGAUCGCGGCAAGGGGUUGGCGACUAGCUAAAGCCAUACGGAGAUACUUUAGAUGGACCCGAUGUCAUCAUUCCUUUUUAUAUUUAUGGAAAUAAUGUAUUAUGUAUUUGUUUUAGAGUUUUAGUCUGAUACUUGGUUUUAGUUGUAUUUGUGGAUCUCCUUAUGAUAAAUAUUAGUAGUUUUACACUAUUUGCUCUGAUAGCCUUGUUACGAUCUGGAAUUGUUCAUUCUCCUUGUAGACGCCUUGUGUAUAUUGUGGUUGUUUGGUGUACACGGCAGGUCUGUGCACGUAACUGUGAGCUUCCGCUGAUGUCCAGGGCGUGACACUGUCAAGGUCAGGUCCCUGGCAGGCAGAGUCCGGACCCUGAAAGCAAGGUUCGAACCCUGAACCCGACAUGAGUUUUCAAAUAUGGUUUUUUCAAUCCUAAUCUAUUCCUAAUGUCUUAUAAACCUAUAAAUAAGAUGUGGGGGUGUUUCUAAAAGGUGGCUAAGCAUAGAAUAGAUUUUUGGAGCCCUAGAAACUUGUCGGGUGCUCUCUUUCUUAUCUCCAACAACAAGUUUCUAUCGGAUCAAUUCUUGAAACCCUAAUUUCUCGUUCUUCAUGGAGAAUUGAUCCGGCUAUUGCUUAGAAACAUCUUCUACGGUUCUUUCAUGAUCAUCUAAGCAAUAAAUCAUCACCAACCUUGCUCAUAUUGCUCCGAACGGAGUGCGCUCGUGGAUUCGAGUCAGCGUCGUGGAUUCGGCGUCAUCAAAGCUUCGUGGAUUCGAAGUGUGGACGUUUCGUGGAUUCGGAACGUUGUGUUCGUAGAUUCGGACGUGGGGCGUGGACAACCCGUUGGUGUGCGCGAGAUCCAGAGAAGAUAAAAGAGAGGUUUGAGUCCGUGGAUUCAGUAAUCACCUUGUAAUCUUUUAUUUCUUAGUAGAUUGUUAUCGCGUGUUGGUCCCGUGGGUUUUUUACUCCGAGUUGGAGUUUUUCCACGUAAAUUUCGGUGUGCUAUUUUAUUUUCCACGCAUUUAUUUUUAUCACAUUGAGAUUGUGUUUUUGGCCUAUUCACCUAUUCACCCCACUCUAAGUGUUUGAUAAUAUCUAGAUAGAUCCUAAGGCUCCUCGUAACUUACAAUACCAACAAAUCAUACUCCACCAACACAUCAAGAAUUAUCAGAACAAAUUCUACCAUCCACAAUUUCUAUAAUGCAGAAAAGAAAAAUUAAAAUACUUGGGACUAGUAUCAAUUUUCCAGUUAUAAGUUGAUAUUUUUCUCGUUAUUGAUUGAUGGAGACUCACGUAAAAGUUAACAUGGCAUAAAAGCUGCAAUGGACAAACACAAGCAAGAAAGAAGCAUGGUUUGUCCGGAUUGAAAUAAAAAAAAAAAUUAAACAUUUGACUUUGGUUUUCAUUUACCAAACAACUAAAAAGUACCCCAAAAUUGGACCAGAAUUUCCUAUAACACAAGAUAUUCUGCAGCAGCAUACUUCUUUUUGAACAGUAUAGCAAUAUGCAUGUAAAAUUUGAAAGUUUUGAACGGCAUCAGAGCAUAAUUGUCAGCCAAAUUUAAAGCAUGAAAUAUUUCUUCCUACUAGAUUUGACUCCUGAAGAUCAUUUUUGCCAACCAAUGCACACAUAUCAGAUUAAAACUGGCUUAAUCUCUGUGAUAUAAUAUUAAACGCCUAAUGAUCCUAAUAAUAAAAAAGUAUUGACAUAAACAGAUUGGAAAUCUGAUAUGGCAGGAUUACAAUAAUAUGUUUAUGCACCAAAGAAAUAUUGUGAGUUUAAGAAUGAAAAAAGAUUUUUUUUUCCUUACUUGGAUCGACAUCAGUUGUAGAAGCUUGUUUAGCACCCUCAUGCGGUGUACCGCAUAGCUACUGUUGGAUGGUAGCUGGUUGACUCUUGCUAUUUCGUCAUGAACAGCAGCUCUCUUGUCCUCAUUUUGAGUUUUAGCCCAUCUGCUCAAAUUUUUAGGCUUUCUAAGUUCACCUUUGGUCAGAUUGAGGUUAUUAUGACCCUCAUCUUGAUCCAUCUGAUCCAUAUUUGGCAGGACCUGCGUACAGCCAACCAAAAGAUGUUACAUAUUCUGAAGCCUCAUAAAAAACAAUAUAGCAGUAGAACCAUUAUUAGCACCGCAUUUACCAAUAUUCAUAUCAAUCCCAAAGAAAUGGAGAUAACAUCAUUCUUAUGUGUAAAGUCAUAAUUAUUAUUAGCAUUUCACAUGUUCUGCCAUUUGUAUGUCAAGUGCACCAAAUUAAGCACUCCAGAUUUUUGAGACAGCUCUAGGGGAAAAAAAAAAAAUCAAAGUCUGGCACUUAGUAAGUAAAAUGUUUAGACCUUUCGGCUGGAUUUGAAAAGUUAAUGAGCUUCUAGGCCCCAAAUAGAAAAAGAAUUUGAAGUUUCUGCUUCUAAGUUCAGCCAAAAGCUGUUCAGGAAAUUUAAUUAGAAAAAAAAAAAGAUUGCUACAGCUUUCUUGGACAGCAUCUCUGUAAUACGUCCAGUGUGGUUAGACUGAACUUAGGACAAGUUACCAUGCAGAAAGGUUAGAUAUCAAAAAUGGAAAAUCUUCUCUAAUGGUGAACUUGACAGAAUAAAAAUGCCAAGAAUAAAACUCUGCAAGAGGUAGAUAAACAGCAUUAUACACUUCUGUCAAAGAAUUUAGGGCUUGAUUGGAUUCAUGAAAAUCUUUGGUUUAUUCAAGGAAAUGCAGUAAUUUUUAUAUUAGGGCUCAAGGUCCUUCUUCCCAGAUAUUAUAAAUCAUCUUCCAGAUGGAAUAUAUCAUCCUCACAAAAAUCAUGAUUGGCGUACAUUGCAAAGAACUAAAAGCUAACUACUAAAUUACAAUAAAAAAGAAAAUCCCCAUAGCGCACAAGUUAAUACCAAAUAACUUGUUCUGAGAUCCAAACAAGCCCUUAUUGACUAGCAAUUGAGAAUCAAGAAACACAUUUCAAACUGUAAUAAAGAAAAAAGAGGUUCAUAGCUUUAGUAGCUUCAGGUUUUAAUAGCAACGAUUUAGUGAUGAAGCUCUUCCUUCCCUUCAUACUCGGAGAUAAAGCCAUGAGAUGCCACUUGAUACUCACAGUUCGUGAUCAUACGUCAGCAUAAAAGAACAGAUGCUGCCUAUUGAAUUCCAAGCAUUUUUGAAGUGAAUCUAUGUUGACUAGUAUCAACAUAAGUACGAUUGAAUCAACUUUUAGAAACUACUUCCAGCACUGUAAUAAGUACUUCAAGCGGAUCAUGAUACCAAAGUUGUGACCAGGUAUAACCAUGCAACAAUAUAUCUUUCCACCAAUAGCUUAUACAUUGGUAUAUUUGCUUAUCUGAUUAUUCAUAGUUGUUUUUUGUUGCAUUUGUUUGCUUCGUCAGCUUGUUGGGUGUAUGUUUUUCACUAAAGAGUAAUACAAUCCAUCUGGAUUUAUAACUUUAUACUAGUAUUUCCAAAUCCAUAUCCACUUUAUUAGACCAAUAGAGAGCAUCCUAGGCAAUUAAUUAUCAAUUAGCAACAAAAAGUAGCAUAGAUGAAAUAAUGAUGCCACUUGUUGAGCCUUUUUUUUUUUUUUAAUCAUAAUAAGACCCUUUUACUGUCAUUCAAACUCAAAUAAUUGACCUAAAAUUAUGAAGUCAGUGUCUGACCUAGAAUUGUAAUUCAUGGUAACAUUAAAGAAGCCAACAAGAAAAAGGAGAAAGCUUUCCAAUCUUGCUAAAGGAAUACCCACAAUUCACAACUUCCUUCCAAGAAAAAGAAAAGAGCUAAGGAUAGCACUAGGCAGUUCUAGGAGAGAUGCUUGAGUUGAUUUAGGCAUGCAGGUGGUUGCCUACUGUGAUGGCUAACUAGUAGUUGGAAAAUUGAAGAAUCGAAUAAAGGGACAAAUUGAUGUUUGAAACCUAGUUAGAAAUGACCUAUGUCUUUUCUUUUGGAUCGAAGAUGGCCCUGAUUUAAAUUCGAUUUCGGAAAAGGAAUUCUUUGAUUAACCAUCUGUCUCUACUGACCAACUCGGAUGCUGAAUUUGAAAAAGAGUCCAGAGAAAUGGUUUUAUCUUCUUUCAUCUUAAAAUAUCAUCAUAAAUUACCAAAGAAUGCAUUCGUGGUUCAUAAAAUAUUCAGCUAGAGCAGCUCCUACUUGAAUAGCAACGGAAUUGUAAUGCACUAGGAUCCCAAGGUGGUUCAACUAAUCUAUGGGGAACUAGCAGUCUAUUCUAGUAGAGAGUUUGGUGCGUCUAAGUCAGAAAAAUUACUGCCUAGGCUAGUCUAGCAUGUUAUCUAAAAGCAGCAACAAUUUAAAACUGAAUCACAUACUCCUCGACGAGGCUCUUGUGGUUUAUAUCUGCUCCAGUACACACCAACAGCUAUUUUCAAACAACAUAAGGAUUUCCGGCAUUGGUUAGUCUAUAGGCCAGGUUCAGGUGCUGAUUUCUCCAUAUGCUGAAACAAUGUGUUACAUUCUGUGUAUGGAGAUUAUGACCUCCCGGAAUAAUAGUGAAAGAGUUCAUGAUUUGGGAAAAGCACAGCAAUUACAAAUGGCUUUCUUCUCUAUUUUUGCCAUUUUUUCAUUUUAUUUUCGAUAAACACAAAUUUUACGCAAUAGAGUGUGCAGGUGGAUGCCUUGCUGAUUGCAAACCAUACAUCUACCAGCAUUUUCUGCACCAAGAGGGAAAACAAAAAAAAUAAAAAUAAAAAUAAAAAUAAUUAGCUGAACUUUUUUUUUCUUUUUUCUUUUUUUUUUUUAAUAACCAUGCUGAAUUGCAAGCUACUAAAUGAUGAGAGACAUCCAAUCAUAUGAAAUUUUGGUUUAUAAAAAAUAAGGAAACGGCAAGAGUAUCAAAGAAGCCCUAACUUUGUUGUUUCCCUGACUUGUUUCCAGGGUAAUUUAAUAACAUAUCAUCAAAACGACUAAAAAGAACUUAUUCUACCAGCUGAAAUUUUGUCAUUCCUCGGUGAUCACUCCGGAAUGAAAAAGGGGCCAUGCUCUAGGAUUGAGCCCUAAGAAGCCCUAAUGGACUGACCCUAGAGAUUUCCGCAAUUGUGCCAUAAAUCGAUUGGAUGAUGGUAGGAACUGAACCAAAGCCAGAUAAAAGAGUUUUCUCCCAACAAGUAAACGUGCUAUGGAUUCUUGGAACAAAAAUCACUAAAAAGGAAACUGAUAAAAAUAAAAAGAAAGAGGGAAAGAAAAAGAGAAAUGGGGUACGAUACGCAGGGAGAAAAGAACUCACAGGCGUGCUCUCUCGUCGAGCUUGAUCUCUCUGGCUCUUUCUCGAAGUCUCCACAGAAUUGUUUGUUUGGAAAGCGUACAGGUCUAUUAGUUCCUGCAGUUUCGGUUUUCGCAGUUUGGACUUCGCUAAGCGUUUAAUAGUCCCCUACUAAAGAAUUGUCUCUAGUGAUUAGGGAUGUCAAUGGUAUGAAUACCCAAAAUAUUAUCCGAAUCCGAACUCGAACGAGGCGAAUUUAUUCGAGCUAAACGGAUAUAGAUUCGAUUAUGAGUAUUGAAAUAAAAAUCCGACGGAUAUAAAUACGGGUAUGGAUUUUGUAUUUACCCGAUCCGAACCCGAACCCGACCCGAACCCAAAUAAAUUAUAUGUAUACAUAAAUUUAUUUUUAUUUAUUUAUAUAAUAUUAAAAUAUUUAAUAAUUUUUAUCCCUUAGAUCUUUAAUCAACGGUAUGAAUUUUUAAAACCUGCCGGGUUCGGGUCUGGGUUCGGGUUUCGGGUUUUUGGUCGGGUAUGGAUAUGGAUAUGAAUUUUUAAAACCCGUCGGGUUCGGGUCCGGGUACGAAUUUUAAUUUAGUUUUUGGGUUCAGGUUUGGAUUUUUAAAAACCCGACCCAAAUUCGACCCAUUGACUUAUCCGAAAAAACCGUCGAGACAGGCCUCAUAGCAAACGGCGGCCACAACUCGAAAUCUAAUCUGGUUCGAUUUAGGGUUCAGUGUUUAGUCAUACUCGAAAACAUCCCAAAUUACAUUUGCCAAAAAAAGAAUAUCAGCGACUAAAGUAAAAAUGGUGCUAAGGUUGGGACAAACGAUGAAAUUGACCCUCAAUUAAAAAGGAAAAAAAAAUAUGGGAUCCACAAAAUCCCCCGAAUAAGGAGAGCUUUUCUUUUGAUUUCCAAAUCAUAUAUUUAUAAAUUUUAAAUAUAAGGCUAAAUUACAUAAAACCUUUCUGUCAAAAUCCGAUUUUUCACUUUUCCUUUCUGUCAUUUAAAAACUUACACUUUGCCCCCUUGUAAAAUAAAAAAUGCUCACUUCGCCCACUGCCGUUAGUAAUUUGUUAGGGUUCCGAUUAUAAACCAUUAUUAUAUAUUUUUUUAUGCCAAAAAUGCCCUUAGCCUUUUCUUCUGUGAACAUGGUGAGGGGCAAAAUAGUUAGAGACAAAAUGGUCAUUUUGUCAUCACAGUUCACACCAUACCCCCUAUGAAUAUUUUUUACUUUACAAGGGGGCAAAGUGUAGGUUUUUAAAUGAUAAGAGCGUAAAGUGAAAAAUUGAAUUUUGACAGAAAAUUUUCUGUAAUUUAGCCUAAUUAUAAAUUGAAAUAUCAAAAUCAAAAUAAAAAAUAUAAGUUUGAAAUAAAAAUUCAAUUUAAAAUUCAAAUUUAAAAUUUAAAUUUAAAUUUAAAUUCAAACUUAAAAUUUUAAUACAAAAUUUUAAUUUCUAUAUGCGGCCCACAACCUAUCAAAAUAAGAAAAGACUCGGUUUAAAAUUUAAAUUUCAAUUUAAAUUCAAAUUUUAAAUUUAAAUUUUAUUUUUUUUAUGUGGCCCACAACACUCAAAAAAUAAAAAGAGUUAGAAAAGAAAAAAAAGCAAGAGAGAGAGAGGAGUAGGUCCCACAAGAAAAAAAGCCAAAAAAAAGGCCGCACCUGCGCGGGCUAGCGUCCUUGCCGACUCGCGCCCGCGUGCCCGCGCCCACUCGCCCGCUCGCGCUCNNNNNNUCGCGCUCGCGCCCGCCAGCUCGUUCGCUCACCCGCCCCCGCUCACACCGUCCACUCGCGCCCAGUCAUGCCGCCCGCUCGCGUGUUAUGUGUUAGCCCCGGGACCGGCAGAGGCCCUCCCGGUAGCGCGCCCAGACCCGCUAUAUGUCUACACAUAUAAGGCGUCUACAACAACAACGAAAAUAAAGCAAGAGAUGAUCUACAACUAGAGAUAUCAGAGCAAGUAUACAUCUAUAAUCUAUGAUAAGAGAAGUUGGAACAAACUAAACAAUAAAGAGGAAACAUAAAGUUAUAUAAUAACCAUAUCAAAAAGUACACAAAAUGGGUGGUCUCUAAUACACUGGUACAACUCUCUAACAGGUGGCAUGCUUGGAAGCUCUGCUGGAAACACAUCUCCAAACUCCAGUACUACGAGAAUAUCCUCAAUCCUAGGGGCGUCUGCAUCGCCCCGCAACACAACAGUAGCCAAAUAGGCUACGCAGCCUCUGCUGAUCAAUUGUCUAGCUCGAGAGGAGCUAAUCGUCAUCGCAAAUAGCGAACUCUGGCAUCCUCGGUACACAACCUCCGCCUGCCCCGGCUCUCUAAACGUCACAGUUCGAUUCUUGCAAUCGAUAGUGGCGUAGUACUUGGUCAACCAGUCCAUGCCAAAAACAACAUCAAACUCUCCGAGUUUAUGCAAAGUUAGCAAGUCCACGGGUAUGACCCAAUCUCCAACCCGAACAGGGCAACUGGGGCAAAACUCUCGAAUAUCCAAAGAGUGAUCGGGUACAACAACUCAUCUCGGAUGCAACAAAGAUAUCAGUGGGAUGCCAUACAACUCGGCAAACAGCCGGUCUAUGAAUGAAUGCGAUGCACCUGUCACGCCCCGGGACCGCUACCAAUUUGGUCCGGUUCGGGCGCGUCGAACAAACGCCGAACGGACAGCACCUCUCCUGUCCGCCCAAGGCCAAACAACCAGAUCAUGUACAGUUAAGNUAUGUCCAAGUUCGGCUCUUUAUGCCGCUAUAGGAUUCUAUGCCAUAAGACCCAAUCCUCAUGCUACCCUAGUCUAGGUGUUCAACUCACAAGUACACUACUAAGGAGCAUGCAAGGAAAAAGAAAAUAUACAUUUAUUAAUCCUAUAAUGCAAUAUGAUCAACAUAUAUGUAACUUAGACAUAAAAAGAAACCCGGAUGUUCCGGAACGACACCCCCCACCUUUUGUGUAUAAGGAGGCUCUAGAAAUGCGCUUCGGCGUCCUUUACGACGAAGCCUCGGUCUUCUUGGUCCAAAUGAUGCUAAAUCGGCCUUAUUUUGCCGAUAGCUCUUGACCCGCUCGACGAAUCGAAAUUUCGACUUCGCCCUCGCGUUUUGGCACCUACCAAUUAGGUUAGAGGAGGGCUAAAUGAGAUCAAUUCUCUACUUUUCUGAAAAACCCUAUUUUGAUGCCCUAGGGUUAGCAUCAAGCUAAACCCAUCUCAAAACCCUAGAUUCUAGCUCUAAUCCUUCCAUUCAUGAUGCUAGGGAUCCAUUUGAUCCCAUCCAAAGAGCUAAAAUCCAAAAACCCCAAAUUUCACAAGCUAAGGUUAGAAGCUUACCUCUAGGUUAGCUUAAAAGAGAGAAGAGAGGAUGAGGGAGAAGUCCAAAAGCUUCCUUUUGUUGAUCUCCUUCUUCUUCUCCUUCAUUUUCUUCCUUCUUUUCCUUCUCCUUUCUUCUUCUUCUCCUUCCUUCUCUUUUCUUUCUAGAGAGAGAGAGCAAGAGAGUGUGAGGGAAAGAGAGAGUGAACUGAGAGAGAGUGAGAGGGAGAGAGGGACUAAUAAGCCCUCUAAUGUAACAAUAUCCAGCUGGCCCCCUCCACUUUUCACUCUGUGCACAGCCUUCACUGGGCGUUCUGCGCGCGGAGGGACCGGUCUCUCCGACUUGGGACCGUUCUCCCCGACUUGGGACCGGUCACACGUUCGGGUACCGGUCUCUCCCAGAGAGACCGGUCCUCGGGAGACCGGUUCCUCCCUAAGAGGCCGGUUCCCGAGAACUGGAAUCUCAGGACUUAGCCAAUUUUUGGCUUUCCUCGCUGGGAUUACGUUCGGGAACCGGUCCCUCCCUGCCAGGGACCGGUUGCCUCAAGCAACCCCUCAACACCAGCCAAUGGGACCGGUCCCUCCCUGCCCGGGACCGGUCCCUGAGAACAGUUUUGCUUUAGUGCAAGUUUCGCACUAUUUGCUCUCGCGGACUGGUUUCCAAUGCACCUUUGGUGAUUUUAACAUUUUUGGCUUUUCCAAAGCUUACCAACACGACCCUUGGUCGAUUUUACACGAAGUCUAACUCUCGUGUUUCGAGAAUUCACUUCCUCACAGUACCAGUAUCAAAUAAUGCUCGUACUCGAAUACCAUAAAGUAAAAUGAUACAUGCGACCACAUUCUCGGCUGCUGCCGCCUCCUCAGUCUGAGCCGCAUACAUGCGCCCGUUCGGGGGCUGCCGUGACCCCUCCAACUGCCACUGCACAGGUGGCCGCCCGGCCUGCUGGUGUACAGAAGGUGUCCCCUGGUUGGGACCCGGCGAAGCUGGUGCAGAUGCCGACGAUGGCGCUAGCGAUGGACCCCUCGCGCAGUCCGACUGGAAGUGGCCCUCCUGGCCACACAGGUAGCACCUACCCCGACUGCGUGAACACUGCCGUGGGUAGUGAGGACCACCACAGAUCACGUAGCGCGGAGCCUGGCGACGAUCAGGUCCUCCUCGCUGAGUAGACGAGCCACGUCCUCGCGACUUGCUCCGGCUCCU
Molecule: long non-coding RNA, 23210 nt
Filed under: Ananas comosus (pineapple)
Lineage: Eukaryota; Viridiplantae; Streptophyta; Magnoliopsida; Poales; Bromeliaceae
Description: long non-coding RNA (ACOM_LNC007061)
Source: RNAcentral